GCGGCAAUAGCUCAGUUGGUAGAGCAUCAGCUUCCCAAGCUGAGGGUCGCGAGUUCGA
This 58-nucleotide transfer RNA is filed under the name Porphyromonadaceae bacterium. Its description in RNAcentral is "tRNA-Gly". It matches the Rfam family "tRNA", at positions 1 to 56 of the family's 71-position model. Rfam says of the family: Transfer RNA (tRNA) molecules are approximately 80 nucleotides in length. Their secondary structure includes four short double-helical elements and three loops (D, anti-codon, and T loops). The record is from RNAcentral. Lineage: Bacteria; Pseudomonadati; Bacteroidota; Bacteroidia; Bacteroidales; Porphyromonadaceae.